Molecule: long non-coding RNA, 3309 nt
Organism: Gasterosteus aculeatus aculeatus (three-spined stickleback)
Lineage: Eukaryota; Metazoa; Chordata; Actinopteri; Perciformes; Gasterosteidae
Source: Ensembl
GUAUGAGAAGACAUUUAAAGCAACAAGCAAGACCUAGGUGUAAAUCGUUGUUGCUUUCAAAAUAAAACCAGCUGGAUAAAAAUCGCCCGUGAAGAAGAACCGUACAAUCGUUCAGGUUAUGGUUAAGGUGUUAUGGCUCAGAUAACAAAGUAAUGCAACUUUAGCUGAAAAAAGGAAAUGUACAUAAUGAGUACGUAUUUGGUCAUGUUAAACGUUGUAUUUCAAUAUGGGUUUUAUUUUGAAACUUGGGAAGGGACGUCUCUCUAACUUUGGAGUUAGUUACACCUUGCUGCGUCCCACCCAUAAAACCUGUGUGCAUUUGCCAUAAAAGUGCACAGGUGGGUCUGUGAGACGUGGACAGAGGACAGCUACGGACCCAAAUGGAGAGCAAGACUCCGUCCAAAGGUCCUGUCGGAGCAGGUGCCUGUGGUCUGCAGCCCCUUCCUGAGGUAGCCGAGCCCGAAGACCUGAGCAAUGUGGAGGGCAGCAAGUGCCAACCCGGACACCCUGCAGGGGCAAGAGAUGCAAAGGAGGUGCACUCAUUGGACAGCUCUCCGUCUUCCUCGGAGAGCGAGGACGAGGGUCUCUGCAAGAAAGACAAGAAGAAGAAAAAGCUGAAAAAGAAAACAAAGAAGAAGAAGAAGAAGGAUUCCAGCUCAUCCUCUUCCUCCUCCUCCUCCUCCUCCUCCUCCUCCAGUAGCUCUUCAGAGAGUGACAGCGAGGAUGACAAGAAGAAGAAGAAGAAAAAGCAGAAGAAGGACGAAGGGCAGAAAGAGUGUGUCCGGGACGAUGUUAUCAUAUGUAGUCCUGGUGGCCAGAUGGAGCAGCCGGGUGCAGAAGGUGCAGAAGGUGUGAAGAUGAGCCAGGAUUGUAACUCCUCAGAUGGUGAAGAUGACAAGAAGAAGAAGAAGAAGAAGAAGAAGAAGAAGAAGAAGCAGGACAAGAAGAAGAAGAAAAAGAAGAAGGAUUCGUCUUCUUCCUCAUCUGACUGUUCCUGCUCCGACUGCGAGGACGAAAAGAAGAAGAAGAAGAAGAAGAAGAAGAAGAAGAGGAAGAAGAAGGACUCAAGCUCCUCUUCCUCAGACAGCUCUUCAUCAUCCUCUGACAGCGAGGAUGACAAGAAGAAAAAGGACAAGAAGAAGAAGAAGAAGAAAAAGAAAGACAAGAAAAAGGAUUCCAGCUGCUCGUCUUCAUCUUCAUCUUCUGACAGUGAUAAAGAUGAGAAGAAAAAGAAGAACAAGAAGAAGAAGAAGAAGAAGAAGAAGAAGAAUGACAAGGAAAAGAAGAACAAGAAACACGAUGAAGAGCAGAAUGAGCUCUGCGGUGGAGCUGCUCCUCCAGCUUCUGGUGAGUGUUUUUCUGCAGGUGGUGAGACUCCGGGACCAAGUGCUGAUGGAGAGAAAAAGAAAGACGAUUCUGCCGACAAGGUCAAGAAAGAGCCUAAAGAAAAAGAAAAAUGUGGAGCAAAGGCCUUCGCUGACGCUAUUGAGGAAGGCCACCUGAGUGACGACGAGGGAGAAGGAGAGAACCACAAGAAGAAGAAGAAGAAGAUGCUGAAGAAGAAGAAGGAGAAGGGUUCCGGCUCAUCAUCAGACAGUGAUGACGACGAAGAAGACAAGAAGAAGAAAAAGAAGAAGAAGGAGAAGGACUCCUCCAGCUCCUCCUCUUCGUCUGAUAGUUGCUCCUCAGAUAGUGAUGAGGACAAGAAGAAGAAGAAGAAGAAGAAGAAGAAGGAUUCUGGAUCCUGCUCGUCUUCUUCAUCCUCUGAUAGCGAAGAGGACAAGAAGAAGAAGAAGAAGAAGAAGAAGAAGAAGAAGAAGAAAAAGAAGAAGAAGAUGAAGGAUAAGGACUCCUCCUCUUCUUCAUGCUCGGAUAGUGAAGAGGACAAGAAGAAGAAGAAGAAGAAGAAGAAGAAGAAGAAGACGAAGAAGAAGAAGAAGGAUAAGGACUCCUCGUCUUCUUCAUGCUCUGAUAGUGAAGAGGACAAGAAGAAGAAGAAGACGAAGAAGAAGAAGGAUAAGGACUCCUCGUCUUCUUCAUGCUCUGAUAGUGAAGAGGACAAGAAGAAGAAGAAGAAGAAGAAGAAGAAGAAGAAGAAGACGAAGAAGAAGAAGGAUAAGGACUCGUCCUCUCCUUCAUGCUCUGAUACUGAAGAGGACAAGAAGAAGAAGAAGAAGAAGAAGAAGGUAAAACAUAAGUCCUCUUGCGCUGAGAGUGAUGACGACAAGAAGAAGAAGAAGAAGAAAAGGAAAGAUAAGAAGAAAAAGAAAGACAAGAAGAAGGACUCCGAUUCUUCUACCAGUGCUGAUGACAAAAAGAAGAAGAAAGACAAGAAGAAGAAAAAGAAGGACAAAAAGAAGGACUCAAAGUCCAGUUCAUCGUGUCCAUCUGACGGCAGUGACAAGGAGAAUAAAAAGGACAAGAAGAAGAAGAGGUCUGGUUCAUCAGGAAGUGAAACUGACAAUAAGAAAAAGAGGGAAUGCUCUGAUGGCGAGCGAGGCGGCGAAGAUCCCGGUGCCGGUCGGGCCGGACUUUCAGCUCCCGGUGGCAGCUGCUCUACGCCUGCCGCUGCUCCCGCCGUCCCCUACGUGUCCCUCCCCUCCAAACCUGUUGUGAAGAUGGAUCCUCUGCGUCCUUCAACUGUCUGCCGGCCCUCUGCCCCUGUCUCCUCUGCCCCCGCCUCUUCUGCCCCUGUCUCCUCUGCCCCCGCCUCUUCUGCCCCUGUCUCCUCUGCGCCCGCCUCUUCUGCCCCUGUCUCCUCUGCGCCCGCCUCUUCUGCCCCCGCCUCUUCUGCCCCUGUCUCCUCUGCGCCCGCCUCUUCUGCCCCUGUCUCCUCUGCGCCCGCCUCUUCUGCCCCUGUCUGCUCUGCCCCCGCCUCUUCUGUCCCUGGGUCCUAUGUCCCUGGGUCCUUUGUCGCUGGCUCCUAUGUCCCUGGGUCCUAUGUCCCCGGCUCCUCGAGUGUUGGAGAUAAGGCCCCCAAUCGUAGGCCUCCCAGCCCCAUGGAGGCCCUGAUGGGGAGCCCGAGGCGGUACGGCUCCUCCCAUCUCAGCUCAAGCGACCUAUUGAAAGGCCCCAAGCCUUAUCAAUGAUGAGAUCAAAACACGCGUUACUCGUGUUUCCUUUUAAAGCAACUGGAGGAUGUCGACCAUGAGAGGAGAUAUGAUUCCUUGAUUUCAUGCUGGAUAAAUGUGAUGACUGGUGGAAAAACGUAUUGUGACACGAUGAAAAUGUCCAAGAUGAGAAGUAUAAUCCAAACAUGGAAAGUCACGAUUGUGUUUUUAAUCAAUAAAGCGCACAUGUGUAAUAAUA